Long non-coding RNA from Rhipicephalus microplus (southern cattle tick), 457 nucleotides. The record is from RefSeq and is a predicted model, not a curated record. Lineage: Eukaryota; Metazoa; Arthropoda; Arachnida; Ixodida; Ixodidae.
UACAAAGCAGUUGACGCCCUGCUGAGGUGUGCUGUUUUUGAAAAUGAAUGCGGAGUCAUGGCAUGCAUAAAUUAGAUUUUGUCAAAUUAGUGUUUGACAGUUUCAUUUCUGGAAGACUUUAACUUCAAGUGAACGCCAGACAAGACUUGUUUUCGCCUGUGACAAGAAAGAUACUAUGUGGAUUCGAUAUGUACAGAAUGCUGUGCUGCCUGCCUUCCCAUUGUCCACUAUGCAGUCGUUUGAAGCAACUCUCUACCAUUGGUCAUGGGUGAAUGGCACAGAUGCAUCAGCUGCAGCCCAAACCUUCAGGACAUGAAAGCCGAGUAGAGUAAGCUUUGCACUGUAUGUGCAACCACAGUAUUGAUUCAAGUCAGCUAUACAGCAGCUAUUGCCUAUUGGGCGUGGUGUACAAUUUUUUUUGUAAUACUAAUAAAUCAUAAUAAUCUUCUACACUUGA